UAUGAAAUGUAUUUUGGUAUAAGUUUUUCAUAACAAAAUUUUCAUAAACCUUUGGAAAUGUAUAUAAUACCUUUCACAUUUUUAGAAUAAAUUUUCUAGAACAAGCUUUCAAAGUAGAUGGAAUAUAUUUUAGAAAGAACUUUCUAUAACAAUUUUUUUUUUCAGCAACACAUUAUCUCUCUUGUUAUUAAUCUAUAAAGUUGUCUCUCUCUUCUAGUAGGAGGAUUUGUUUUGGGUCCAAGUAGGGUGGGUUCAUUUUUGUCAGGGAGUUACUCCCUGUACCUCCCCAAUUCCAACCCCCACCCCCCAAUUUUUUUGGAUUUUUUUUUAAAUACAAAAUUAAUCUUUAUGUUUUUUUUAUUUUUACCGUUUUACACCUAUUUACUAAAGUUAACCUACUCUUUUACAGUCUGCCUCAGUCAAAACACACAGACUCAAAUUCCUCUCCUUCGUAUUCCCACCCCCACCCCCACCAAAGCUUUUGAAACGCUCCUCCUCCAAACGCUCUCUGCAACUCUCACUCUCCCA
RNAcentral lists this long non-coding RNA (528 nucleotides) under Vigna radiata. Its description in RNAcentral is "long non-coding RNA (VRAD_LNC003406)". The record is from RNAcentral. Lineage: Eukaryota; Viridiplantae; Streptophyta; Magnoliopsida; Fabales; Fabaceae.